GCGGACGUGGCGAAACUGGUAGACGCAAGAGACUUAAAAUCUCUCAGCCUUAGGCUAUGCGGGUUCGAUCCCCGCCGUCCGCACGA
Molecule: transfer RNA, 86 nt
Filed under: Rhizobium sp. ACO-34A
Lineage: Bacteria; Pseudomonadati; Pseudomonadota; Alphaproteobacteria; Hyphomicrobiales; Rhizobiaceae
Description: tRNA-Leu
Rfam family: tRNA
About the family: Transfer RNA (tRNA) molecules are approximately 80 nucleotides in length. Their secondary structure includes four short double-helical elements and three loops (D, anti-codon, and T loops).
Source: RNAcentral